Molecule: ribosomal RNA, 465 nt
Filed under: uncultured bacterium
Lineage: Bacteria
Description: partial 16S ribosomal RNA
Rfam family: Bacterial small subunit ribosomal RNA
Source: RNAcentral
GAUGAACGCUGGCGGCGUGCUUAACACAUGCAAGUCGAACGGAAAGGCUCCUGCUUGCUGGGGUACUCGAGUGGCGAACGCGUGUGUAUCACGUGGGUGAUCUUCCCUGUACUUCGGGAUAAGCCUGUGAAACUGGGUCUAAUACCGGAUAUGACGAUGGUUUGCAUGCCAUUUUGGAAAGUUUUUCGGUGUGGGAUGAGCUCGCGGCCUAUCAGCUUUUUGGUGGGUUAAUGGCCUACAAAGGCGUCGCCGGGUAGCCGGCCUGAGAGGGUGUACGGCCACAUUGGGACUGAGAUACGGCCAAGACUCCUACGGGAGGAAGCAGUGGGGAAUAUUGCAAAAUGGGCGGAAGCAGGAUGCAGCGACGCCGCGUGGGGGAUGACGGCCUUCGGGUUGUAAACUCCUUUCGCUAGGAACGAAGCGCAAGUGACGGUACCUGGAGAAGAAGCACCGGCUAACUACGUG